AAAUCUUGAAUUGCGUAUAGAAACAAAACAAAACGAACCGCUUCUAUUCUCGGAGCUGAGGUAUAGAGCCUGAGCCUAUUCUCAUCAGACAGAAGACCGACCUCUGAACUUUCUAACUUCAGCUAGCUGACUGGUUUACUACUGGCUUUCAACCCUUGGGCAGCUAUCCUUGGCAUGCGUGCUACUGGCCCGCCUACUGAACUCCUACUGUCCUGCUACCAAGCAUUCUCUCUUUACUCGCCUAAGGGUGCACUAAGAAAGAUUGCUACAAGCAAUCAAUCAAAGCGAGCUUUCAUUUUAGCGUGUAUUUGAAAGAGUUGAAAAGCCUUUAUAUAGAAAGUGUUGAAAAAGGCAGGAACGUGAGUCUGGGGAGAAAUGGAACACUUAGUUCCUUUAAAUUAAAACUCGCCAUUCAAUUUCCUAACGCCUUGGGUCAUGUGAGCAUCUGGGCAUGCACGAACUUACCGCCUGAACAGGUUUACCGCGCUCAAAUGCAGUAAGUAAUCCCGGAGCAAAUGAACUCAAGAGUGAAGAGCACGGAUUGCAGCUGAAAUGAAUGGAAGGUUUUAGCCUUUGGAAGUUGGGGGUGAAACCAGUGGAAUUCUUUUUUUUAUUCUUUUUUAUUUAGGCAACUUAAUGACAAGCAGCGGACUGCCAAGUCGGAGUGGAACAUGUAAAAAGAUUUCUGAACCCCUUUCCCUAUGGUCAAGCUGUUUCACCCCUUUAAAUAUCUAAACUUAGACUUAGACAAAAAAAAUUGUGUUUUAUAGCAGAGCGUCUGGCCACACUUGCUAAUGGCGAUUGGAGAGUUUUAGUGAUACUACGGUGAAUCAUCUCACUAGAGAUAAAUCUGAUCAAAAUCCUUAGCGUUUCACACUAAGCAAGUAAACUACCUUCACCCCAGAACUAAUAAUGGAGAAUGGUAAUCCAACCGAUUUACGACUAUACCAGGAAUAAUUGGCUGAUAGAGAUAACACUGAUUUACUGGAUACGGGAGACUUUCCAGUUUCCGGAUGACCUCAAGAUUUGCUACUAAAAGAAGGCCGAUCUCGCCACGAGAAAGACGCACAGAAGAGGUAUGCCCAGCGCGCGGAGGAUCCGUUGAGAGUUUCUGUUGUCUCGGUAGGGAAUUCUUCAUUAUAGAUUGAGAUCUUCUUCGAACUUAAUGCACAAAUAGAUGGAAUAGCAGCAAAUAGCAUCUUUCUAGCAUGCAUAUUCGUGGAAGUAAAUCUCAUUAUGAAAGCUUACCACCACUUCGCCUCUUUGUUGGACUGCCGGCGCGAACACAGUGGUCUCUGACCAAAACCAGGAACCAAUUCGAAUUUGGAUCUUGAAUAUGAAUAAGUACUCGUGUAACGGCAGAUAAAGCCGCGAAGGCGUGCCCUUGUUCUUUGGUUGGAUUGUCUUUGUCUUUGGUGUACCCCCUCCUGGGGUUUACAACACGGCGAAACAAAAAGGUUCGAAUGAAAUCCAAUGAGAAAAAAUAAUAAGAAUUUUUAGGCUGUAUACCUAAUUUUCCUGGGAUUGUAGUUCAAUCAGUCAGAGCACCGCCCUGUCAAGGCGGAAGCUGCGGGUUCGAGCCCCGUCAGUCCCGACCUAAGAUCCGAUGAAUCAGGUCGAUCAAAAGGCGCAGAAAUUGCUAGAACUGAAUGCGGAAAGUAUGGAAAAAUAUCUCGUAAUGCCGCAUCUUCUGGUCUUGGUUCCUUUCGGACGUGCAGGUGGAUCCUAUUUCCUUCCUUCUUUUGUUCUGGUUCCCGUGCGUUUACUUGCAGCGUUUCGCUAUCCGCUGUUCUUCUAAGCGCUGUUCUAUAGAAGGUUAGAGUCUAAGAAGGAAAGCCCUCCUUCCUCUCUCGGGAGGCAGACCACGUUCCAAGCCACCUUGGCAGCCUUAGAGAUCCCAACUGCACCAUGCCAGAGGAAAGAUCUGAGAUCUGGUCAAUAACCUUGCACACCUCCCUUCGGCAAAUGAAAAUGCUACUCCAGUAGACCUGAAUACUGAACAACACUGAUCUGAUGAGCUGAUGCGAUCAGCGAUCUGCUCUUUGAGUGUAUCACUAACAGAUUGUACGACUCGGUCUUGGUAUUUCGUUUCGCAUUUAUCAUCGGACAAAUCAAGUCAAGGAUCCGAAGGAGAAUAACUAGUACCGAUUGAUGGGGGAGAGUUACUAUUACACAAGAGCUCAGCUGGCUUACUAAUAGAAAGAUGAACCCCUUGUGAGGAGUUCCCUCAAAUCGGGAUUAUAAAUAAAUUUUAUGAACCUAUUCCUGGUGAGUCUCUUAGAAUUCUUUUCUUAAAUUUAAUGCCAAAAAAUUUAAGUUUAAAAGAAAGGUUAAAAUGGGAUAAAAAUGUGGAGGAAACAGUGAGUUGUUACGAGGUAUAUCCGCUCGGCUCCUGUCGGGGAGCCUCACUCUCUUGCAGAGGAUUAAAAGGUUUAGGAUUCACCUUGACAACCGCCACACACAUUGGGUCAUUCACUCACUCCCGCAUUGGGCGUCCCUCCCCCCUACGCUUUUUGGGCAGAUUUUACCCUAUCUACACCCGGAGCCAAUCUCCUAUCGGUCCUGCCGCCACGCCGCAGAACGGGAGCUCGUGUGGAACCUUUUAUUUUUGGCGUAACAGCGGUGGCACGUAACAAAAUAUUACGGUCGACCUGCACUAUGAGCAAGCUGUGCGAAAAACCGCUUCUUUUUUCCGGUUUCGCAACAACUUGGGCGAAAUGGGGUUCUACCGGGAAACCAUGAGGUUCAAUAGCUAAAUACAUGGCAAUUGAAUCAUGAGCCGAGAUGAUCCUUGCACUUAGUUGGGAUUUUACGCGCGCUAACUUCCUCAGAAAGUGAAACUCUUUUGUGGACUAACUAAAAGGCUUGAAGACAAGACGGCAUUGGUUGUUCCAAGUGAGUUUAAAGAAUUCACGAGAGCUUUUAUGCUUGGGAUAGGUUAGACCUAUCUGUUUUCUUUAAUCCCCUUGGUUCCCUUUCCCCCUUCCCGCCUUAAACUAAGAAGUGUUGACACUCGGGUGGACUUCUUAUCGGGCCGAAAUGCGGAAGCUCGCUUUAUCAGACAACGACUUUAGAAAAGGAUGAAAGCUUUUGGACCUAGCUAAAGGACUUUAAGCCUUUGCGCAAGCAAGCGCGAGAGAAGCAAGCAAAGUAGAAGCUUUGCCAGAAGCAAGACGAGGAAGCGGAGCAAGCCCCCCGACCGACUAAAAUUCGAAAUGGUGAAUUGAGGUAGAGUAGACCGAUGAUCCUGUAGUCAUUUGGCCGGCUAUUGAAAGAAAAAGCAGCCUCUCUCUUGUGGGCUAACCAAUGCGCCCCUACUAACAGCUAUCUAAUGCAAAUAUCUCAUUUAUGAGCCAUAUUCGCCUGAAAGCUUAAAGGCAACUGAGAGCCAAGCAAGCAAACCGUAAGGCCCACUCGACCUGUAUGGAUUCCCCCAUUCACUCACUCCCGCAUUGGGCGUCCCUCCCCCCUACGCUUUUUGGGCUAGGGGGGGACGCCCUGAGUGCGUUCGUUCAUUCCCAACAGCAGAAAAUACAAUGUUUGCAGAUGCCCAUGCUUUGAUUCGAAAGCCCUAGCCAGUGAUGAAUCCCCAGUAAGAUCGGAGUAUUGAAUUUAUCCUCCCUUCAGUCCUGUUUGAACCCGUCCCAGCAACGACCACCUUCCUACUGCAAGGUGAGGCUCUGCCCUUCCCCUAGAAUCCACUCCGGGUCGGAGGAGCUGCUAGUCCAACUUCUUGAGCAGCCGAGAUAUUGAACAACGAACAUUGAAUUCCUUGCCUCACCCUGAGAUGAGAGGGGAGGGGUGCGCUUCCUUCCGGAAAAAAAAGUGGUUCUUACCUUCCUGUACGAGUAGUGAAGAACUAUAGAGAGCUGUGGUUGGUUGUUGACCAACGGAAAGCAUGGAAAAAAAGAAAAAGGAAUCAUGAAACGCCACUGCUCCAUGCAAGUAAGAUUCUCACUCCCUCUAGGUAGAUCUCACUUGAUGGAUUGUGUAAUUCCAAAAGGGAUUCUAGGAUUUGAUUCCUCCCUUUGGCAAAGACUUAUUUGCAUACCUAUUCCGGUUGAUCCACACCAUACUGUAUUCUCGUAAGAUGAUACACACUAGCUAACAAUCCGCCUGGUGCUCGGCUAACCACUAAGUCGCUCAUGCACAAAUUCUUACAAAAAGGGGAGCCCCGCGAAGGGUGGAGAUGAAUCUAUAUCUGUCAAUCACAAGAGCUAUAGGGCUUUUGGGCAUUAUUAAGAAAAUGGACUCUCCACCUAUUUCAUUGUGUGCUUACUCCCCUUCUGCGCUAUCAAAUAUCAUAGCAUAGUAUAUAGCGUAAGACUUUGCUUGCUCCGAGCAAUCUUGUUAAGGAAGGGCGGCUAGGGUGGGAAAAAUGCAGAAGAAUGAAAUUCCAAAGAAGGAGAUAAGAAGGAAGACUCUUCGUUGUUGAAUGCGGGUCACUACAUAAGCGAAUGAUCUUCGCUUCUCGGGAACAACAAAAACCACCAUCUCGCUCUUUCCUUUUUUCGGUGCUACCUUUUUCUUUCCAAGGGAUGGGAUUGGGAUGUAUAAUAACCUUUUUUUUGAGGAUCGGUCCGUAGAACCUAUAAAAAAGAGAUGGUUGUGGCGCGAAGUACUCUUGUGCACCUACGUCACAUUAUCUGUGAAAAGGGGGGUAAAGAGUAGGAUAUAAUUCCCAGCAGGAGGAUCCUUCUUUCGUUUCGCAUUUAUCAUCGGACAAAUCAAGUCAAGGAUCCGAAGGAGAAUAACUAGUACCGAUUGAUGGGGGAGAGUUACUAUUACACAAGAAGACUGAUAAGAUCUAUUAAAUAUCUAUAAAAUGCUAACUCCUUAUCCCACUCAUGACACUCUUGACCUGGAAAAUCCCCCUUGGAAUACCUUAUAAGCUGGGGGGGCAAUCGGUUUGAUUAUCAGCUGCUCCCCGCUCAUCAGCGAAUGGGAGCCCGGAGAAAGGAAUGGAGAAAUUGUUGGAAAUGGAAAAGAAACCUGAGCAAUCGACCAAUUGGGCCCAAAUAGUAGACAAAAGUGCGGUCUUUAUCAAAGGGAUUGACCUUCAUUUCAUUAAGUAAAAAGUAUCAAAAUAUAGAGUCAAGAUAGAUCACUAUCUAUCACAUACCCCUAAUUUCGCAUUUUAGCUAAUCCUUACGUUACGUCUCCUGCUUGUCUAUGUGAAACAAUCAGAAGAUAGUCUAUUACAUUAAAGACAAUUAUCUUUUCAUACGAAAGAAUGCUGCUCGACGAGCCUCUCCCUGAAGAAAAAGACACUCCGGCCUAACAUAACAGCACUUUCCUUACCCGUUGUGCUCUGUCUGAGAUAAGGAGCAAAAGGCUAGACGGAAGACCUCUAAUCUACCAAUCAAUCUAGCUAGCAUCCUAUGAUUUUUGUGCUAUUAAGGAAGGAGCCAACUCAGAAAUGGUAAGCCAAGGGUUCAAGCAAUUCUUUAAUGAAGUCUUGAUUGAGCUCAAACUGGAAGCAACUAGUUUUGAGCUCGUUCGAGGAAUAAGCAAGCCAUGC
Molecule: long non-coding RNA, 5521 nt
Filed under: Prunus persica (peach)
Lineage: Eukaryota; Viridiplantae; Streptophyta; Magnoliopsida; Rosales; Rosaceae
Description: long non-coding RNA (PPER_LNC003879)
Rfam family: tRNA (bases 1521-1594)
Source: RNAcentral